This 446-nucleotide ribosomal RNA is filed under the name uncultured bacterium. Its description in RNAcentral is "partial 16S ribosomal RNA". It matches the Rfam family "Bacterial small subunit ribosomal RNA", at positions 338 to 795 of the family's 1533-position model. The record is from RNAcentral.
CCUACGGUGCGCAGCAGUCGAGAAUCAUUCACAAUGGGGGAAACCCUGAUGGUGCGACGCCGCGUGGGGGAAUGAAGGUCUUCGGAUUGUAAACCCCUGUCAUGUGGGAGCAAAUUAAAAAGAUAGUACCACAAGAGGAAGAGACGGCUAACUCUGUGCCAGCAGCCGCGGUAAUACAGAGGUCUCAAGCGUGGUUCGGAAUCACUGGGCGUAAAGCGUGCGUAGGCUGUUUCGUAAGUCGUGUGUGAAAGGCGCGGGCUCAACCCGCGGACGGCACAUGAUACUGCGAGACUAGAGUAAUGGAGGGGGAACCGGAAUUCUCGGUGUAGCAGUGAAAUGCGUAGAUAUCGAGAGGAACACUCGUGGCGAAGGCGGGUUCCUGGACAUUAACUGACGCUGAGGCACGAAGGCCAGGGGAGCGAAAGGGAUUAGAUACCCUGGUAGUC